Molecule: ribosomal RNA, 542 nt
Filed under: Prostemma guttula
Lineage: Eukaryota; Metazoa; Arthropoda; Insecta; Hemiptera; Nabidae
Description: partial large subunit ribosomal RNA
Rfam family: Bacterial large subunit ribosomal RNA
Source: RNAcentral
UUUUACAAAACAUGGCCUUUAGAUUAGUUAAUUUAAGGUCUAUCCUGCCCAAUGAUAUUAUUUAAUGGCCGCAGUAUUUUAACUGUGCGAAGGUAGCAUAAUCAAUUGUCCUUUAAUUGGGGACUGGAAUGAAUGGUUUGAUGAAGGGCUAGCUUUCUUUAUCUUAUAAAAUGAACUUUAUUUUUGAGUCAAAAAGCUUAAAUAAUUUUAAAGGACGAGAAGACCCUAUAGAACUUUAUACAUACUUAUAUUAACAAUAUUUAGGUUAUAUAUAUAUUGUUAAUAUUUUAAUGUAUUUUGUUGGGGUGACAGAUAAAUAUAAUUAACUUUAUUUUAUUUAUAUUCAUGAAUUAGUGUAUUAAUGAUCCAUUAUUAAUGAUUAUAAGAUUAAGUUACCUUAGGGAUAACAGCGUAAUUUUAUUGGAGAGUUCAUAUCGAUAAUAAAGUUUGCGACCUCGAUGUUGGAUUAAAAUUAUAAUUGGGUGCAGCAGUUCAAUUUAUAAGUCUGUUCGACUUUUGAAAUUUUACAUGAUCGAGUUCCC